RNAcentral lists this ribosomal RNA (1265 nucleotides) under Micromonospora sp. RNAcentral's name for it is "bacterial SSU rRNA". Lineage: Bacteria; Bacillati; Actinomycetota; Actinomycetes; Micromonosporales; Micromonosporaceae. The record is from RNAcentral.
GCAACCUGCCCCAGGCUUUGGGAUAACCCCGGGAAACCGGGGCUAAUACCGAAUAUGACCKCYGAUCGCAUGGUUGGUGGUGGAAAGUUUUUCGGCUUGGGAUGGGCUCSCGGCCUAUCAGCUUGUUGGUGGGGUGAUGGCCUACCAAGGCGACGACGGGUAGCCGGCCUGARAGGGCGACCGGCCACACUGGGACUGAGACACGGCCCAGACUCCUACGGGAGGCAGCAGUGGGGAAUAUUGCACAAUGGGCGGAAGCCUGAUGCAGCGACGCCGCGUGAGGGAUGACGGCCUUCGGGUUGUAAACCUCUUUCAGCAGGGACGAAGCGUAAGUGACGGUACCUGYWGAAGAAGCGCCGGCCAACUACGUGCCAKCAGCCGCGGUAAGACGUAGGGMGCGAGCGUUGUCCGGAUUUUAUUGGGCGUAAAGAGCUCGUAGGCGGSCUUGUSGCGUCGACUGUGAAAAACCCGCAKCUCAWCUGCGGGCCUGCAGUCGAUACGGGCAGGCUAGAGUUUCGGUAGGGGGAGACUGGAAUUCCUGGUGUAGCGGUGAAAUGCGCAYAUAUCAGGAGGAAACACCGUGGSCGUGGCGAAGGCGGUCUCUGGCCGAWACUGACGCUGAGGAGCGAAAGCGUGGGAGCGAACAGGAUUAGAUACCUKGUAGUCACGCUGUAAACGUUGGGCGCUAGGUGUGGGGGGCCUCUCCGGUUUCCYUGUGCCGCAGCUAACGCAUUAAGCGCCCCGCCUGGGGAGUACGGCCGCAAGGCUAAAACUCAAAGGAWUUGACGGGGGCCCGCACAAGCGGCGGAGCAUGCGGAUUAAUUCGAUGCAACGCGAAGAACCUUACCUGGGUUUGACAUGGCCGCAAAACUGUCAGAGAUGGCAGGUCCUUCGGGGGCGGUCACAGGUGGUGCAUGGCUGUCGUCAGYUCGUGUCGUGAGAUGUUGGGUUAAGUCCCGCAACGAGCGCAACCCUCGUUCGAUGUUGCCAGCGCGUUAUGGCGGGGACUCAUCGAAGACUGCCGGGGUCAACUCGGAGGAAGGUGGGGAUGACGUCAAGUCAUCAUGCCCCUUAUGUCCAGGGCUUCACGCAUGYUACAAUGGCCGGUACAAUGGGCUGCGAUACCGUGAGGUGGAGCGAAUCCCAAAAAGYCGGUCUCAGUUCGGAUCGGGGUCUGCAACUCGACCCCGUGAAGUCGGAGUCGCUAGUAAUCGCAGAUCAGCAACGYUGCGGUGAAUACGUUCCCGGGCCUUGUACACACCGCC